RNAcentral lists this ribosomal RNA (484 nucleotides) under uncultured bacterium. RNAcentral describes it as "partial 16S ribosomal RNA". It matches the Rfam family "Bacterial small subunit ribosomal RNA", at positions 29 to 507 of the family's 1533-position model. The record is from RNAcentral.
AUUGAACGCUGGCGGCAUGCUUUACACAUGCAAGUCGAACGGCAGCGCGGGCUUCUGCCUGGCGGCGAGUGGCGAACGGGUGAGUAAUACAUCGGAACGUGCCCAGUAGUGGGGGAUAGCACGGCGAAAGCCGGAGGAAUACCGCAUACGACCUGAGGGUGAAAGCGGGGGAUCUUCGGACCUCGCGCUAUUUGAGCGGCCGAUGGCGGAUUAGCUAGUUGGUGGGGGAAAGGCCUACCAAGGCGACGAUCUGUAGCUGGUCUGAGAGGACGACCAGCCACACUGGGACUGAGACACGGCCCAGACUCCUACGGGAGGCAGCAGUGGGGAAUUUUGGGCAAUGGGCGAAAGCCUGAUCCAGCAAUGCCGCGUGUGUGAUGAAGGCCUUCGGGUUGUAAAGCACUUUUGGCGGGAACGAAAAGGACUGUGCCAAUACCACGGUUCGAUGACGGUACCCGCAGAAUAAGCACCGGCUAACUACGUG